GACGAACGCUGGCGGCGUGCCUAACACAUGCAAGUCAACUUGACUGAAGGAGCAAUCUGACAGUAGAGUGGCGCAAGGGUGCGUAACGCGUAAGUAACUUGCCCCAAGGUAAGGAAUAACGUCGAGAAAUCGGCGCUAAUACCUCAUAAUGCAGCGGAUCCGCAUGGAUAUGUUGUUAAAAGGGUUUUACCCGCCUUUGGGGAUAGGCUUGCGUCUGAUUAGCUAGUUGGUGUGGUAACGGCACACCAAGGCUACGAUCAGUAACUGGUCUGAGAGGAUGAUCAGUCACACUGGAACUGAGACACGGUCCAGACUCCUACGGGAGGCAGCAGUGAGGAAUAUUGGGCAAUGCUCGAAAGAGUGACCCAGCAACGCCGCGUGGAGGAUGAAGGUAUUCUAUAUCGU
RNAcentral lists this ribosomal RNA (405 nucleotides) under uncultured bacterium. RNAcentral's name for it is "bacterial SSU rRNA". It matches the Rfam family "Bacterial small subunit ribosomal RNA", at positions 28 to 426 of the family's 1533-position model. The record is from RNAcentral.